GCCAAUUAAAUCAACCAAUCAUACAGCUCUAAUGAUCCACAUCAUCAUCAACACCACGCCAGCAGUCAUCUUUUUCGUACAGAUUUUGUAUAUCGAGCACGACUUCUCCACUCCUAUUUACGACUUCUCUCCUCCUCUUUCAAUUAAUCAUCCUUUAAACACAGUAACAUCUCCAUGAUAACUCACGCUUCAGCUUCUCAUAUAUUGCUAUAUACUGUAUUCUUUUAUUCUUGGUUUCACCUCAAUAUAUUCCUUGCUCACCACUUCCAUGGUGACACUAUUUAUGCAUCAAAACCCACUUCCUGAUUUCGAAACUCAAAUUUGGUCGUCUCUUCAGUUCACUUUGCCUUCUCCGAACCUUCAAUUUUUUUUUUCAAUUGCAGACAAAAAAACUAAUCCCCUUUAUGGGGUUUUGGUGUUAUUUGGUGUUUUAUCUAUCCUUUCUGGCAAGGAUUGCUAACCGUCAUAAGAUUAUGAACUGAAAUAAUUGAAGCAGAAGCAAGCUAAUCGCAUGAGAUUUAUUGGUAAGCGUCAAUGCCUAUGGAAAGAUCCAGCCAUAGAGACCUCUGAAGAUUUUGAUUUGAGCCGUUUACAUCUUAGCUCCAACAGAUACGAUGGUGAACCAUUGCUAUGAAGCCGGGAAUGGAAAAUUGAGAUCUUGAAAAGUUUCGGCGGACAACCUAAUUGGCAGAUGCGUGAAAACGAAACUGGGGAUCAUAUUCCAUGCGAAGUUUAAAAGCUCCCAGUUAUCAUUAUUACAUAUGGUAAAUGUUUGGAGUAUCUUGACCAUCAACUAUUGUUUGCCGUGCGGAUUAACAACUACGUGUUUAGAGUUUGUAAAAGAUUUCAUGAAACAGAACAAGGCUGGGAGCUUUUACUUAUGUGGCUGCCUUGGAAUUGAAAAGUCAUUUUCGAUGGAGAAAGUAAGACUACAAGUUGAGCACUGGCCAAACAGGUAGAAGGCUUGCCUUGGGUAGAAAUAAUGUAUGUUAACUGCACGUCACUGACAUAAAACAUAUAUAUUCUCAAAGGUAAGACGUUAUGCAAUGAAAAUACCCUCCCCAGUUCUUGGUUUCGUUUUAAUAGAGAUGCUUAGUGAAUAGUGAAUUACACCAACUUCAGAUUUUGUUUUCUUUCAAAAGCAACAAUCAUCCAGCUCAAAAAUAAUGUAGGUUCUUUUUUCUUUCUUAAUGACCUGCUAGCUAUACUGAAACCUGUUUCACAUUUAAAUUUCAUUUGCAGUCUGAUAAUUGCACAUGAGUUGAUUACUUGAUCACAAGAGACCGAUGUGGCCUUCAUGAGCUUUUUAUGCUCACAACAUUGUCAUUCUCAAGAUAUAUAUACUAUUAAAUAGUUAAUAGGGAGGAGUCCUAAAAAAUCUACUUAAAAAAAGUUGUUACACCCUUUCAUUUAAAUAAUACAUUUGGUCCUACCUAACUAUAACUAUACAUGAUGAUUUUAUUUAUUAGUCGACAUAGUGGACCAAAGUUUUUGUUUAACUAAAGCCCAGUCGUGAUGUUCAUUUUCUUGGGAUAAUCUAUUGUUUUAGCAAUUUAUUUUAUUGGUCCAUGUCUAAAAUAUAUAAUAAUAUCGUUAUAACAUACCAAAUCUCAAAUAUAAAUUUAUAAAACUUUAAUAAAACUAUCUAAAGAUUUACCUGUGAUAAAAUUACUAAAGAUUAAAACUGUAAAAAACAAGAAAAUAUAAUAAAAAUUAUAUUUAUCUAAUGAAAAUGUAAUAAUAAUUCUUUAGAUAAUUUUUAUUAUAUUUUCUGGGUUUUACAUUUUAAAUUUAUACAUAUAUAAUGUUGAUGUUAAAACACACAUCAAACUCAUAUAUUUACAAACAAAUUUAAAAUGCUAAUUUUAAAAAUUUAAGUUACUAAUUUCUAGAUAAUAUUAUAAAAUUCUGUUUUUUGAUUUUUUUAAAGGUAAAACCCUUCAACUAUGUUUACGUAAUGUAAAAACCCAUAAACUAAAGAUUUAGCGGUAGCAAUGGUAAUUAUGACCUGCUACUGCUAGGGUUUAAUCACUACAAGAAAACAUGCUAAUUCCGACGACCAUAUUCGUCGGAAUUUCAUCGGGAAAACGGCUAUUCCGAAGAAAUUCCGACGAAACUGGUCGUCGGUAUGGAUUCAUCAGAAAACAAAUAUUCGUCGGAAAUCUGUCAAAAUUUCUAACGACUUUCCGACAGAUUACGACGGCCAAAAAUAUCCGACGGAAUACAGACAAAACACUUCGUUGGUAAGACGUUGUCGGUAAUUUGUCGGAAAAUGUUCCGACCAACAAAUAUUGUCGGAAUUGUCGAUGUGAGAGAGAACCGACGAGAACUAUCUGUCGAAAAUUACCGACGACAUUUUCCAUCGGAAAUUUCCGACUCCUUAAUUUCGUCGGUAAAUUCCGACGCUCUGUUUCCGUCGGUCAAUUCCGAAGAACUAUUCGUCGGAAAUGUCGUUGCAGAGUAAUUCAACGGAUUUGGUCGUCGGAAACGUCUGACAAAUAUCCGACGAAAAUGUUCGAUUUUAAUAUUAAAAAUUAUUAUUAUUUUCUAAAUUAUUUUAUUUAUUUUAAAAUAAUUUCAGAUAUUUUCAUUUUAGAUAAUCAAAUCGAUUAAAAAUUGAAACAGCAAACUAAUAUUAUAGAAAUUAAGUUUUACAUAAUUAAAAACAUCAUAUAAAAGUUUCUAAUCUGAAAAUUCUGCAGGAAAUAGUCGCUUCAUCUUCUCCAUAAUGUCUAAGUUCAUCCUCUUAGCCUCCGCCACUUCAGCUUUAUGUUCUGCUAUUUGAGCAUCCUGUUGGGCCAUCUGUGCAAGAAUUGUAGCGUUUUGAGACUCCAACGCUACAAUCCGAUCAUCCUUUUUCUGCAGCUCAUCCAUAAUCAUCGGAUCAACAUACGAAGUUUGUGAAGAAGAAGGACAUGAAGAGGCACGACGAGCCAACCCGACUAAACGACCUUUCUUAUUUGGAACAGCCUAUAAAUUAAAUUAAAUAUAUUAGUUAACUAAAAUAUAAAUGAAAUUUUAUAUUAAUGAAAUGAGAAAUCUAAAAAUUACCUCUUCUACCAUUUCAUUAACUCGAACUCGGGACAAGUUGGUUGAAGCCGAAGAACCGUCAUCGGAGAGGGGUUGAGAAGCUAGAUAUUCUUGUUUCUGGGAUUCUACCAAGUCUAUGACAUCCCUGAUAAGGGGAUUCUGAAUUUCCCCAGUCUUCUUGUUAGUGUACGCACCCCUCAUGACAUCGAGAUAAUCGACGGGAUCACCGUCAUUUGCCGCAACCUAAAGGAAAUUUAAUUAAUAGAUAUAUAUAAAAAGAAAAAAAUAUAUAAAACUUACAAGUUGAUCCUCCUUAGAGGACAUACUGCAAGCACCGAGGUUGUGGACAUAAACACCUAGUCCACCACGGUCGCUCAAGCGGUUCUGGGAGUUCUUGGUUGAUUGCUCUUCAGUCUCCUGCUUCGACCAAUGCACCUCUAAGUCUUGCCAAACCUUCGAGUUGAUAAACUUCGGUUUCUUGCCCGUACACCAUAGCUGUUUCCACUCAUAAAUCUGAUUCCCGUAAAUCUCCAUGGCCUUUCUGUGGAACGCCUUACGGAUGACUUCCGUAUCCCCGGAUGGCCAAUUAAUUUCUUGCUGAAAAACAUAUAAUUAGUUGAAAUAUAAUAGAAAACUAAAAUAAAAAAAUGAAACAAAAUUUAGAGAAAUAUACCGCAAACUGACGAAACCACAACUUGCGUUCAUCUAAUGGGACUUUGCUAUAGGUCUUAUAGCCAGUCUUCAGCAUGGAAUACAUCAUCUGGUUAAUGCUCUUGCUAAUGCCAUUGUGCGACUUGGUGAACCUUCAAAAAAAAAAGAUUAUGUGUUACAAAAUUCAAUGAAAAAUAAAUAAAUAAAUAAAUAAACAAACCAUGUAGUGUGUCCCUCGGGUCGGGGAUGGAGCAUUGGGAGAUGAUGUCGACCGGGUUGUUGAACCAACAGUUCAACACUCAUGACACCCGGCUCAGGUGGAGCAGCUGGAACUAUAUCUCGAGCUGGAGCAAUAGGAAUAGAAUUUUGCUCCUGCGAAGAUGCUGAUGCAUGAGAAUUACUCCCCGAAUGUGAUCGACCUUGUGCUCUAGGACGACGCAGCCUAACCGGAGGGGAA
Long non-coding RNA from Brassica napus (rape), 4138 nucleotides. RefSeq lists it as uncharacterized. NCBI's taxonomy places the organism in Eukaryota, Viridiplantae, Streptophyta, Magnoliopsida, Brassicales, Brassicaceae. The transcript has 3 exons. The record is from RefSeq and is a predicted model, not a curated record.